Molecule: RNA transcript, 696 nt
Organism: Hyposmocoma kahamanoa
Lineage: Eukaryota; Metazoa; Arthropoda; Insecta; Lepidoptera; Cosmopterigidae
Exons: 2
Source: RefSeq, a predicted model, not a curated record
UGUUUUAAUCGUAGUCUCUGUAUAUUUAUUAAGGUCCCUUCAAGAUCAUGUUCAAUUGUGAAAUUAGACAACUUUUCCUAUGGUAAUGGGUCGAGUGGGAAUGGACACUAAGACAAGAAUUAAAAGGUCGACUCAACGGUUGGAAACCCUUGGAAUCACGUGAACUAUAGCAAGGAAAGCGAUUAUCAAAGUAUAGAAGAAUAUCAUAAUGAUAAUUCAGAUGACUUUAUACAUGUGAGUCCUCACGAUCCAUAUGUUACAUUCGCUGCUAAAGCUGCUCUGGAAGGUUUUAAGGUUCAAAAGGCAAAAGGCAAAAGCUACGUGGCCUUCCCACGAUAUAUUAAUUUGUAUAAAGUUGAUCAUGCCGAACUCCUAGUCGAUGAUGGAUGUGACUACAAAUUAAAUUUUACUGCACUUUUAAAUGUACAGGUAUAUCCUUUUUACAAGUGUAACGCGAUGGUUCACAGAAAUACUGAAAAUGUUUUCUAUGUAAAUAAAGUAGGAUGCAAACGUCAUUUCGUUAUACUCUGAUUUGUGAAUGUCAUUCAAAUUGAACGUGAAUUUUAUGGAAUUAAUACAUUGACUUACAAAUAAAUGGACGACGGGUCUAAUACAAAAACCACGAAAAAAAUGUCCCAAGUCAACCUAUUUAAACGAAGUCACUAGACUUGUAAAGGAAUAUGAAAAAGCUAAAAC